This 461-nucleotide ribosomal RNA is filed under the name uncultured bacterium. Its description in RNAcentral is "partial 16S ribosomal RNA". It matches the Rfam family "Bacterial small subunit ribosomal RNA", at positions 338 to 795 of the family's 1533-position model. The record is from RNAcentral.
CCUACGGGAGGGCUGCAGUGAGGAAGAUGGGGCAAUGGAAGCAAGGCUGAACCAGCCAUGCAGAGUGCAGGAUGAAGGCUCGAUGAGUUGGAAACUGCUUUUGGACGAGGGGAAACCCCGAUACGUGUAUCGGGUUGAAAGUAUCGUACGAAGAAGGAGCGGCUAACUCCGUGCCAGCAGCCGCGGUAAUACGGAGGAUCCGAGCGUUAUCCGGAUUUAUUGGGUUUAAAGGGUGCGUAGGCGGUUUGAUAAGUUAGAGGUGAAAUGUCGGGGCUCAACCCCGAAACUGCCUCUCAUACUGUUGGACUAGAGGAUAGUUGCGGUAGGCGGAAUGUAUGGUGUAGCGGUGAACUGCUUAGAGAUCAUACAGAACACCGAUUGCGAAGGCAGCUUACCAAACUAUAUCUGACGUUGAGGCACGAAAGCGUGGGUAGCAAACAGGAUUAGAUACCCCAGUAGUC